This 101-nucleotide microRNA precursor is filed under the name Callithrix jacchus (white-tufted-ear marmoset). RNAcentral describes it as "microRNA cja-mir-466a precursor". Its record names the gene cja-mir-466a. The record is from miRBase by way of RNAcentral. Lineage: Eukaryota; Metazoa; Chordata; Mammalia; Primates; Cebidae.
ACGUGUGUGUGCAUGUGCAUGUGUGUUUAUGAACAGGGACAAUAUACAUAAGUGUAAGUCCUUAAUUUUUCAGCUCAGCUUUUACAUAUGCACACAUCUGU